Molecule: non-coding RNA, 215 nt
Organism: Pelobates cultripes (western spadefoot toad)
Lineage: Eukaryota; Metazoa; Chordata; Amphibia; Anura; Pelobatidae
Source: the annotation of a GenBank genome assembly
AACAUUUCAUCUCUCCUGUUAAGAACCUGUGGCCAUCGUCUCUGCAGCUUUACAUAACAACGAGUGCCCGUUAUGGUGCGACAGAUUACAAGCACUGGGAACUGGGAUCAAAGACUCACAGCUGAGUUUAGAAGCACAUCUGAAUUGUGCUUAUAAAUAAUGGCUACCUGUGUAAAAGGAAAAUGGGACUGUUGAAAUAAUGAUUGAGUAAAAAG